GACCUCGCAGCGUCCGAUCUGCCCCGAUGAAAGUCGUGCCGCAGUCGCUGUAAAUCUCAGCGCACAAACCCCGGCGGGAGAUGAAGCGGCGCAGCGCGGCGAUGAAGGCCUCCGAGGUGUAGUCCGAGACAACUUCUAAGUGAAUGGCCUUCGACCAGAAGCAGACGAAGACGGCGAUGUAUCCCUUGUGCGCACGGUGUCCACGCCCCUUGCUGGUCCGGAGGAGGAUUGGUCCCGCGUAGUCCAAACCGGUGCUGAGGAACGGUCGAGUUGGCGUUACUCGGUCCCGAGGAAGGUUACCCAUCGGAGGCUGUGGUGUUGCGGCGCGCCAUCGAGUGCAGGUCACGCAUCGGUGUAGCUGCUGUUUGACGGUGGUCCUUCCUCGGGGCACCCAGAAACGCAGGCGGAGCAAGCCGAGAGUCAGUUGCACACCUCCGUGCAGUGUCCGUCGGUGGCAGGAAUCAAUCACCAGCCGAGUCAACCAUGAUGCCGCCGGGAUGAUCAUUGGAUGUCUUUCGUCGAGUGGUAGCUGAGCAUGCUUGAGACGUCCUCCGACGCGCAGCACGCCUUGAUCAUCGAGGACCGGACUCAACCUCGCUAGGUGGCUUCGCGGUGGACUAGUGCGUCCAGCAGAGGCCGCAGCUACGUCCGUAGGAAAGUGGAGCGCCUGCACCACUCGCAGCCAUCGAAAUAAGGCGACGUCCAGCUCGUCCGGAUGCAAAGUGCGGCCAAGUAUGACGUCGCGUCUCGCCGGAUUGAGCCAUCGCCGACACCAUGCAGUAACUCGCAGCAGCCUUUGUAGCUUCGGGAACCGGAGGAGGAGGUCAGGUUCGGCCGUGAUCGGUGCCUUGACCACCAAACUGGUGGCUCGCUGCUCCGGGAGGUCAUCCUCUGCGGCUUCGAUGACGGAACAAGGCCAUGCAGUCUCGUCUCCUGACAGCCAGGAUUCUCUCGUCCAGCGAUGUGUCUCCAUUGAGCGUCUGGCAGCAGGGUCUGGAUCUGAGACACUCGAUUGGCGACAAAGGUUUUCCAGCGGGUGCUGUGUCCUUGAAUCCAGUGGAGCGUGACCUUUGAAUCUGACCACAGAUGCACUGGCGUCGUUGUCAAACCGAGAGUAGAGCGCACGUGGAGCAUGAGCGUGCGUUGCGGAUGUACACCACGGCGGCGUACCCUCGCUCUGAUGCGUCGGCAAACCCAUGGAGCUGCAGUUGUGAAUGGUCGGUCCCAGUGUUGAGCCAGCGAGUUAUGCGGAUGUCAUCUAGAAGAGGAAGCUGAUUCAACAACUGCCUCCAGCGGUGUGCGUCCUGAUCAGGCAGCGGGGAGUCCCAGUCCAGCCGUUGAAGCCACGUCGUCUGAAUCAGAAUUUUGGCUCUGAUGACGACAGGUGCGAGCCACCCCAUCGGGUCAAAGAGUCGAGCCGUCUCGGCCAAAACUCGUCGCUUCGUGAAGUCGGUGAUUGCACGCGGACGUAUGGUGAAGGAGAACCAGUCACCUUGCGGAUGCCAUCGGAGGCCCAAGGUAGCGUGACUCUCUCCCUCCCAUGAGUGCGGUUUGCGUUGAUGCCGAUGUUCCGGUGGAACUCCGGUGAGCACCUGCUGAUCGUUGGCAGCCCACUUCCUCAAAGGAAAUCCGCCCGCCAUGCAAAGACUCCGUAGUUCCUGCUGAAGGUCGAUAGCGUCCUCCAAGCUAUCAGCGCCGGUGACCACGUCGUCGACGUAGCAGUCGUGUCGCAGUGCCUUGACUCCGCGUGGAUAUCGUGCCUCUUCGUCUGCUGCGAGUUGAUGAAGAGUCCUGAUGGCGAGAAAGGGUGCACACGCUAGCCCGUAGGUCACGGUCCUCAGCUCGUACUCGUGGACGUCAUCAGAGCUGGUGUGGCGCCACAAGAUGGUUUGCAGGCGACGAUCCUCCGGAUGUACAAGAAUUUGUCGGUACAUCUUCUCGAUAUCCGUGACGAGAACGUACCGAUGCCAACGCCAACGAAGUAGGACAUCAGCGAGUGUUGGCAAGAGAUUGGCUCCAGUGAGGAGGUGUGCGUUCAGCGACUCUCCGGACCGUGUGCGCUGGGAGCCGUUGAACACAACCCUGAGCUUCGUGGUCGUGCUUGACUCCUUGAGGACCCCGUGAUGCGGUUCUCGUAUUCCUCCAUGAAAUCUCGAUAGAGGUCACCGAAGCGAGGAUCUCGUGCUCCCUUCCGCUCCAUGGCUUCCAGGAGGCGCUCUGCGGGUCGACGAGUCUCGCUGAGCGAUGUCGGCGGCGGUGAAGUACAUGGCAGCCUCACCAUGUACCUGCCACUGGACGUGCGAGUGACCGUGCGCACGUAGAAGUCUUCGCACCUGGCUUCGUCGGCGGUGAGCGGUGUCCCAGCUACUGGCUCGCGUUCCUGCUCCCAGAAGCGUCGAACCAUGUUAGCGAGGUCGUGGUCUGUGGUGCACUGGAACGUGCGGCGAUGGCCUUCGGGUGCUGCGGCGUCGUAGCCUCCGGACAAGAUCCAUCCUAAGCUCGUCUGCUGGGCGAUCGGCAUCCGUGAUCCGCCCUUGCGAAGGCCUUCCUCGAGGAUCAGCGAGUAGACUUCUGCUCCCAGAAGUAACUCCGCAGGAUCGUCAUCCAGGAAGCGCGGGUCGGCCAAUCGAAGUCCGUGGAUGUGAGGCCAGCUACGAUCUUCACGUUGAGCGGUGCCUUGU
Non-coding RNA from Nylanderia fulva, 2681 nucleotides. The record is from RefSeq and is a predicted model, not a curated record. NCBI's taxonomy places the organism in Eukaryota, Metazoa, Arthropoda, Insecta, Hymenoptera, Formicidae.